Long non-coding RNA from Oncorhynchus tshawytscha (Chinook salmon), 786 nucleotides. The record is from Ensembl. NCBI's taxonomy places the organism in Eukaryota, Metazoa, Chordata, Actinopteri, Salmoniformes, Salmonidae.
GCUAUUGUGUCAACUAACAAAAACAAGUGGACUGAAUGAAGGAAGAGUCCAACUGUCAGAGCUGAGUGAGUGGUUAGUUACCUUUCACAUGGGAUACUCCUCUACCAGGAUGGAUAUCAGGGGGCCAUUUGGGAUCUAAUCACAUUCUGUCAGCUGUCGGAAUAACUAGAGCCCAUAUCCCAGUAUUCCUGUUAUUGUUCCUGUUAUUAUUCCUGCUUUUAAGACCCUUCUUGUUCCCAGAUGGGAAACCAGGCUAUCCAGUCCAAUCAUUUAUCCAUCUGAUCACCCUCAACUUCCUCAGGCCAGAUAAGUUCAACUUCCUCAGGCCAGAUAAGUCCAACUUCCUCAGGCCAGAUAAGUCCAACUUCCUCAUGCCAGAUAAGUCCAACUUCCUCAGUCCAGAUAAGUCCAACUUCCUCAGGCCAGAUAAGCCCAACUUCCUCAGUCCAGAUAAGUCCAACUUCCUCAGUCCAGAUAAGUCCAACUUCCUCAGGCCAGAUAAGUCCAACUCAACUUCCUCAGUCCCGAUAAGUCCAACUCAACUUCCUCAGGCCAGAUAAGUCCAACUCAACUUCCUCAGUCCAGAUAAGUCCAACUCAACUGCACCAAAUGAAAGUGAUGGGCAAGGCUACUGCAUGUAGGAUACUGAUGGAGACGUGUUUCUCUCCUUUACCCAAGACCCUUUCUGUUUUAUACCUCUCUCUGUCUGUCCUCAAGAUAACAAACAAAACCAAGGUUAGUCUUGUUUAUGUCUCCUCUCCUCCAUGUCUCAGUGUCUUACUGCAG